RNAcentral lists this ribosomal RNA (510 nucleotides) under uncultured bacterium. RNAcentral's name for it is "partial 16S ribosomal RNA". It matches the Rfam family "Bacterial small subunit ribosomal RNA", at positions 28 to 507 of the family's 1533-position model. The record is from RNAcentral.
GACGAACGCUGGCGGCGUGCUUAACACAUGCAAGUCGAACGAAGAGCGACGGAAGCUUGCUUCUAUCAAUCUUAGUGGCGAACGGGUGAGUAACGCGUAAUCAACCUGCCCUUCAGAGGGGGACAACAGUUGGAAACGACUGCUAAUACCGCAUACGAUCUAAUCUCGGCAUCGAGGAUGGAUGAAAGGUGGCCUCUACAUGUAAGCUAUCACUGAAGGAGGGGAUUGCGUCUGAUUAGCUAGUUGGAGGGGUAACGGCCCACCAAGGCGAUGAUCAGUAGCCGGUCUGAGAGGAUGAACGGCCACAUUGGGACUGAGACACGGCCCAGACUCCUACAGGAGGCAGCAGUGGGGAAUCUUCCGCAAUGGACGAAAGUCUGACGGAGCAACGCCGCGUGAGUGAUGACGGCCUUCGGGUUGUAAAGCUCUGUUAAUCGGGACGAAAGGCCUUCUUGCGAAUAGUGAGAAGGAUUGACGGUACCGGAAUAGAAAGCCACGGCUAACUACGUG